RNAcentral lists this ribosomal RNA (465 nucleotides) under Vreelandella stevensii. Its description in RNAcentral is "partial 16S ribosomal RNA". It matches the Rfam family "Bacterial small subunit ribosomal RNA", at positions 338 to 795 of the family's 1533-position model. Lineage: Bacteria; Pseudomonadati; Pseudomonadota; Gammaproteobacteria; Oceanospirillales; Halomonadaceae. The record is from RNAcentral.
CCUACGGGUGGCUGCAGUGGGGAAUAUUGGACAAUGGGGGGAACCCUGAUCCAGCCAUGCCGCGUGUGUGAAGAAGGCCCUCGGGUUGUAAAGCACUUUCAGUGAGGAAGAACGCCUGGUGGUUAAUACCCAUCAGGAAAGACAUCACUCACAGAAGAAGCACCGGCUAACUCCGUGCCAGCAGCCGCGGUAAUACAGAGGGUGCGAGCGUUAAUCGGAAUUACUGGGCGUAAAGCGCGCGUAGGUGGCUUGAUAAGCCGGUUGUGAAAGCCCCGGGCUCAACCUGGGAACGGCAUCCGGAACUGUCAAGCUAGAGUGCAGGAGAGGAAGGUAGAAUUCCCGGUGUAGCGGUGAAAUGCGUAGAGAUCGGGAGGAAUACCAGUGGCGAAGGCGGCCUUCUGGACUGACACUGACACUGAGGUGCGAAAGCGUGGGUAGCAAACAGGAUUAGAUACCCCAGUAGUC